GUAACCGCUGAGGAGUUCCACAAUAGGACGAAACGGCCGUCCAGUAC
This is a non-coding RNA of Schistosoma mansoni, 47 nucleotides long. Lineage: Eukaryota; Metazoa; Platyhelminthes; Trematoda; Strigeidida; Schistosomatidae. The record is from Rfam.